RNAcentral lists this ribosomal RNA (253 nucleotides) under uncultured bacterium. RNAcentral describes it as "partial 16S ribosomal RNA". It matches the Rfam family "Bacterial small subunit ribosomal RNA", at positions 524 to 776 of the family's 1533-position model. The record is from RNAcentral.
UACGUAGGGUGCAAGCGUUGUCCGGAAUUAUUGGGCGUAAAGAGCUCGUAGGCGGUCUGUCGCGUCGGAUGUGAAAAUCCAGGGCUCAACCCUGGACCUGCAUUCGAUGCGGGCAGACUAGAGUUCGGUAGGGGAGACUGGAAUUCCUGGUGUAGCGGUGAAAUGCGCAGAUAUCAGGAGGAACACCGGUGGCGAAGGCGGGUCUCUGGGCCGAAACUGACGCUGAGGAGCGAAAGCGUGGGGAGCAAACAGG